UGCGUAGGCGGACGAUUAAGUCCGAUGUGAAAGCCCCGGGCUUAACCUGGGAACUGCAUCGGAUACUGGUCAUCUAGAGUGCGAUAGAGGGGGGUAGAAUUCCUGGUGUAGCGGUGAAAUGCGUAGAUAUCAGGAGGAAUACCAGUGGCGAAGGCGGCCCCCUGGAUUGACACUGACGCUGAGGUACGAAAGCGUGGGUAGCGAACA
Molecule: ribosomal RNA, 207 nt
Filed under: uncultured bacterium
Lineage: Bacteria
Description: partial 16S ribosomal RNA
Rfam family: Bacterial small subunit ribosomal RNA
Source: RNAcentral